This 401-nucleotide ribosomal RNA is filed under the name uncultured bacterium. Its description in RNAcentral is "bacterial SSU rRNA". It matches the Rfam family "Bacterial small subunit ribosomal RNA", at positions 356 to 773 of the family's 1533-position model. The record is from RNAcentral.
GGGGGAUAUUGCGCAAUGGGGGCAACCCUGACGCAGCAACGCCGCGUGAAGGAUGAAGGUUUUCGGAUUGUAAACUUCUUUUAUUAAGGACGAAACUUGACGGUACUUAAUGAAUAAGCUCCGGCUAACUACGUGCCAGCAGCCGCGGUAAUACGUAGGGAGCAAGCGUUGUCCGGAUUUACUGGGUGUAAAGGGUGCGUAGGCGGCUUUGCAAGUCAGAUGUGAAAUCUAUGGGCUCAACCCAUAAACUGCAUUUGAAACUGUAGAGCUUGAGUGAAGUAGAGGCAGGCGGAAUUCCCCGUGUAGCGGUGAAAUGCGUAGAGAUGGGGAGGAACACCAGUGGCGAAGGCGGCCUGCUGGGCUUUAACUGACGCUGAGGCACGAAAGCGUGGGUAGCAAAC